Molecule: transfer RNA, 82 nt
Filed under: Methanobacteriota archaeon
Lineage: Archaea; Methanobacteriati; Methanobacteriota
Description: Euryarchaeota archaeon tRNA-Leu
Rfam family: tRNA
About the family: Transfer RNA (tRNA) molecules are approximately 80 nucleotides in length. Their secondary structure includes four short double-helical elements and three loops (D, anti-codon, and T loops).
Source: RNAcentral
GCAGCCGUGUCCCGAGCGGUACGGGGGCGGGCCCAAAACCCGUCGGCGAAGGCCCUCCCAGGUUCGAUUCCUGGCGGCUGCA